This 78-nucleotide antisense RNA is filed under the name Streptomyces sp. VMFN-G11Ma. Its description in RNAcentral is "ASpks TB sRNA". It matches the Rfam family "ASpks TB sRNA". The record is from RNAcentral. Lineage: Bacteria; Bacillati; Actinomycetota; Actinomycetes; Kitasatosporales; Streptomycetaceae.
CUUGACCGAACCCAGCAACAGCGGCGGCCCGUCCUCGGGCCUGCCCUGUCCGUAGGUGGCCAGCAGGGCCUGUGCCUC